RNAcentral lists this ribosomal RNA (440 nucleotides) under uncultured bacterium. RNAcentral's name for it is "partial 16S ribosomal RNA". It matches the Rfam family "Bacterial small subunit ribosomal RNA", at positions 338 to 795 of the family's 1533-position model. The record is from RNAcentral.
ACUACGGGUGGCAGCAGUGGGGGAUAUUGCACAAUGGGGGGAACCCUGAUGCAGCGACGCCGCGUGGGUGAAGAAGCGCCUCGGCGCGUACAGCCCUGUCAGCAGGGAAGAAAAUGACGGUACCUGAAGAAGAAGCCCCGGCUAACUACGUGCCAGCAGCCGCGGUAAUACGUAGGGGGCAAGCGUUAUCCGGAUUUACUGGGUGUAAAGGGGGCGCAGACGGCGAUGCAAGCCAGGAGUGAAAGCCCGGGGCCACACCCCGGGACUGCUCUUGGAACUGCGUGGCUGGAGUGCAGGAGGGGCAGGCGGAAUUCCUGGUGUAGCGGUGAAAUGCGUAGAUAUCAGGAGGAACACCGGUGGCGAAGGCGGCCUGCUGGACUGCAACUGACGUUGAGGCCCGAAAGCGUGGGGAGCAAACAGGAUUAGAUACCCUAGUAGUC